GAACCCUAAUCCCCAUUUGCCCCUCUCCCUUUCGCACGAGCCGCCGCCCGUGCGUUGCCGUCAUCGCGUCUUCGUCAUCACCACGGUCUCCGACUGCCCCGCGCUGCACCACCACCUGCAGGAGCUCCGUCAUGUUCGUCUACGUCAUCUACGGCCAUCCGUUCAAGCUGGGCACCUCUACAUCACCGGGAUCGACUGCUUCGUCCCCGCGGCCGUCCGCGCCUCUCCGGCGAAUUUCGGCGCUCUCUGCUGCUCCCGGCAACCAACGAGCCUCCGUGAGCUCCCUUGGUGAGCUUCCCCUCUGUUCCCGCCUUGCAUCGACCUCAAACCGUGCCGAAUACUACUGCCCCACCGCCAUGCCCGCGUGCUGCACAGCCCGCGCGCUGCUGGCGUCUGCUGCCGCAAGGCCGCGAGCGCCGCACCGCAGACGCCCGUCGCUCCCUGGCCUCGCCAAGGCGCGGCCUUAACUGCUUCUCUUGCUGCACUGUCUUCUGCUACUACUUGCCGCUGCUGCUGCUCCUCUUAGCCGCUGCUUUGCUCUGCUGCUGGCAGCCGCACUACUCUGCGUACUACUGCUACUCAAGCCGUUGCCUGCUAGUGUCGCUACUUACUACAGCUGCUGUUUACGACUUGCUGCGUAGCCGACCGCCGCUGCUCUAGCUGCUCCUGGAUGCUAGUUUUUGCUACUCCUAGAUGUUGUGGUAAUGGCCAUGGCCAAGCAUGAGUGAUGUGCGUGUACGUGUACAGCCAAGCCACCAGUGGCCGGCCCGUCCAAAUUAGCUAGGGGAUAAGUUCCAAAUAGUUUAAUUGCUAGCCAAUGACAGGUAGACCCCACCUCCAAUUAUCUCUUUAAAAGGAAAAUAAUAAAUCUGUGAGAAUGACACUGGGCCCCACCACCCAGGUUUGACCAGUCAAUAGUUGACUAGUCAACUACGGACUGGACUAAUUGACUUUGUCAACCCAGCCCCCUGGCCCCACAUGUCAUUGACUGUGGCUAGCCCCUGCUGAGUAUAAAAUGUAUAUUCUGAUCUAAUUUGAUUUUAAGAAUAAAUCCUGGAAUUUUUAGAAAAAAUUUAAAAAAUUAAUAUAAAAUAAAACAUAACUCGGAUGGAAAAACAUUGUACAUGAAAGUUGCUCAGAACAACGAGACGAAUCUGAAUACGCAACCCGUUCGUCAGCCACACGUCCCUAGCAUAGCGAACCUGCAAUAUUUCACCUCCGGUUCAUCUGUCCGAAACGCGAAACACCGGGCAUACUUUCCCGGAUGUUUCCCCCCUUCGCCAGUGUCACCUAUCCCUGCGUUAGAUCACCCCUGGCAUCGCGUAUUGCCUUGUUAUAUUUUGUGAUGCUUUGUUUGCUCUGUAUUCAUUGUUUCUUCCCCCUCUUCUCUCCGGUAGACUACGAGACGGACGUCGCUGCUGCCUCGAUCGACUACGGUGUUGACGACCCCUCCUUCUUGCGAGAGCAACCAGGCAAGCCCCCCCUUUGAUCACCAGAUAUCGCCUAUUCUACCCUCUACUGCUUGCAUUAGAGUAGUGUAGCAUGUUACUGUUUCGAUUAAUCCUAUUCUGUUGAAUGGCCUGUCAUUGUUGCUACAAUUGUUGAUACCUUACCCGUAAUCCUAAAUGCUUAGUAUAGGAUGCUAGUUUAUCAUCAUUGGCCCUACAUUCUUGUCAGUCUGCCUUGCUAUACUAUCGGUCCGUGAUCACUCGGGAGGUGAUCACAGGUAUAUACUAUACAUAUAUACAUACUGUACCGAUGGUGACUAAAGUCGGGUCAGCACAUUGAGUACCCGCAAGUGAUUGCGAUGUGGGGGCUGGAAGGACAGGUGGCUCCAUCCCGGUAGAGGUGGGCCUAGGUUCCUGACGGCCCCCGACUGUUACUUUGUUGCGGAGCAACAGGGCAGGUUGAGACCACCUAGGCGAGAGGUGGGCCUGGCCCUGGUCGGCGUUCGCGGUUGCUUCAUAAUAGCACGCUUAACGAGAUCUUGGUAUUUGAUCUGAGUCUGGCCACUGGCCUAUACGCACUAACCAACUACACGGGAAAGAUAUGGGCACUCGACAUCGUGGUAUCAGCCGAAGCCUUCCUGACGUCAGCGACUGAGUGGCGCGCGCCGGAUUGGAACGUAAGCCUGCUCUUGUAUUAAGGGGGCUAGUUCUGCUUCCGGUCGCGUACGCAACGUGCAGGUGUGCAACGGGCGAUGGGCCCAGACCCCUGCGCGCAUAGGAUUUAGACCGGCAUGCUGACCUCUCUGUUGUGCCUAGGUGGGGCUGUGACGUGUUGAUCUUCCGAGGCAGGGCAAGACCCAGGAAAGUGUGUUCGGCCAAAUGGGAUCGAGCGUGUUGGGUUAUGUGGUGCACCCCUACAGGGAAGUUUAUCUAUUCGAAUAGCCGUGUCCCUCGGUAAAAGGAUGACCCGGAGUUGUACCUUGACCUUAUGACAACUAGAAUCGGAUACUUAAUAAAACACACCCAGACAAGUUCCACAGACAACCCGGUGAUCGCUUUUCCACAGGGCGACGAGGGGAGGAUCGCCGGGUAGGAUUAUGCUAUGUGAUGCUACUUGGAGGACUUCAAUCUACUCUCUUCUACAUGCUGCAAGAUGGAGGCUGCCAGAAGCGUAGUCUUCGAUAGGACUAGCUACCCCCCUCUUAUUCUAGCAUUCUGCAGGUCAGUCCACCGACAUUGCCUUUUUACACAUAUACCCAUGCAUAUGUAGUGUAGCUCCUUGCUUGCGAGUACUUUGGAUGAGUACUCACGGUUGCUUUUCUCUCCCUUUUCCCCCCUUUCCUUUCAACCUGGUUGACGCAACCAGAUGUUGGAGCCCAGGAACCAGACGCCACCGCCACCGACGACCCGUACUACAUCGAGGGUGCCUACUACUACGUGCAGGCCACUGAUGAUGACCAGGAGUAGUUUAGGAGGAUCCCAGGCAGGAGGCCUGCGCCUCUUUCAAUCUGUAUCCCAGUUUGUGCUAGCCAUCUUAUGGCAACUUGUUUAACUUAUGUCUGUAGUCAGAUAUUGUUUCUUCCGCUGACUUGUUUAUGUCGAGCACUUGUAAUCGAGCCCUCGAGGCCCCUGGCUUGUAAUAUGAUUCUUAUAUGACUUAUUUUACUUUUAGAGUUGUGUUGUGAUAUCUUCCCGUGAGUCUCUGAUCUUGAUCGUACAUGUUUGCGUGCAUGAUUAGUGUACGAUUGAAUCGGGGGCGUUACAAGUUAGUAUCAGAGCCGACUGCCUGUAGGAACCCCCCUUCCAAACUCCUUGGCCGAAGUCGAGUCUAGACAAUGCAAAACUUUUUACUAACAUGGUUGUGUGUCUUACGAGCCCACGUCGCCAUUGGGUGUACUAGGAUCUUUUACUCCUCGGCCCUUACUCCGGGACUCUGACCUCUCUUCUAUUCGGGUUAUAUGAUUAUGCAAAAAACAACUAACUAACUUUAGGUUCUCGAAAAUAGUUUCUCACGGAGAGCCCCUCACUCCAGAUGAUCGCCUGCUGCACGAGAAGAUUCCGAAGAUACUCUCUGAUGUUCUUUCGAGAACUUAUGCUCAUCAGGUUUGCAACCCUACCACCAAGACAUCCCUAUGGAUAGCUACUUAUACUUGCCACCCUUACCUUCAUUCUCGAUUACUCUUGAUACUACAAGAUACCCUGAACUACUUCCCGCCAUUCCGAGAAUCCUGCGUGCUUACUGCCUUGCAGCUCCUUUCUGCACGAUUACACUGACGCAUAAAUUCUCACACUUAUCGAGGAUUUCUUCAUUGCUAGUUGUUUUUGUGUUUCACAAAAAUUCUUCAGGAUACUAUUCGGUUUUCUGAAAAUUCCUUAGGAGCCUAUUGCUCCUGAAUUCCUGGUCUUCCGGUACUAUGGUUAAUUCCAUAUUUCUACCAAUCUCCAUUGACAUCCUUUGUCACUAUCAUUUCGUUCCCCUUGCUUCCUUAUUUUGUGAAUGAUCGCAAUCUUCAAUCAGAUCAUAGAAUUCAUCCUUCCGGCUCAGAUGUCAUUUUAAGCAUGAGCUGGUUCUUGACCAAUCAAAUUGCCGUCGAUUGUACCCCUAAGUCUGUUCAACUUAUCCAGUCUUAAUCAGAGCGUCUGCUUCUGAUCCUUCAUUUUGGAAAUCAUAAUUCCUUUGUUAUCUAAGCAUCGAAUUAUUUAGAUGUUCUAUAAUCAGAUGCCUUUGCAUUUUUUCUUUAUCUGAUUGUGUGCCGAUGCUCACAUUAGCUCUGCUAUGGACCGUCAAAUCCUUUGUUGGAUUAUUAUUCGAUAGUGUCCUUCAUAUUUUACCGCCUUAUGAAUCCUCCCUGAUGCAUAAUGCCUUUGGUAAUUUGUAUCCUCUCCUUUAGUCAAACAUGCUCUGCUUCUGAGCUUGAGUUAUUUACCCCUAAAGUUUGUGGUAUAUGUUUCUAAGAAGCCCCGAUGGGUUGAGCCUAUGCCUUCCUUAAUUGUGUGAACCUGAGAGUUUUCACGAGUCAUACUCUUCUGGUAUUUUGCCAGAUAAACUUUCAACACUACAACUUCAUCGAACGCGAGAAUGAAUGAAAGAUUAUGCAUUGAAGAAGUGGGAGUUGACCUUGAACUUUGUGUUCAUGCCCAUGGACACGAUGUAUAUCUUAUCAUGGAAGCUUCUUAUAAUAAUAACUAUUUCGUUGAUAAAUAUCAUCUGGUAUUUGUAAAUUGAUCCUUUGCAAUCGUGGUUCCGGCCAUGAUUGUUCUUCUUUGAUCCCAUUUCUCGGACAAGUUAAAGCACUUGUCUCCUACAGAUCAAUACGCCUGCCCAACCUCUAUUAUGAUCUACCUUCGAGUAUUACCCCUGGUAUCUCGAUGAUAUCAUACCAUUGCACUACAUCUUAUGAAUUUGUGAUGAAGUAGUACUUUCCCCAUCAUAGUAACUCCACGGGUUCUGGGUUGUCGUCAACCGAGAACACCGAUUUGUGAGUCAAUUCAACACUGUGAUACAGUACUCCCAGUACCUUGUUGAGAAGUUUAAUACUCUAUCAUGUCAUUCCUAGCCUGAUCGGCUACUUCAUUAUUUUGCUAAAUUUAACUGUGCUACCUGAUCCUUCUUCCCGGAGCACAAAUUUUGACGGUGAUCUAGUCUUACAUCGAUCUUCCUCGUCAUAUCAUUUCUCCUUGAACAGCAAACUUGAUUUCGAGUUUGUGUCGUACCCUUGGUUCCAAUAACCUUUUGCUUCAUCAUUCCUUUGACUUGAUGUCAUCGUCGGUCGAUUACAUCUUCAUGAAAUCUCUCGACAAAUGUGUCGUGAUCAUCAUCAUCAUUUUGAGCUCUUCCAGGAUAUCAACUGAAUUCAUGAUGAGAAAGACCAUCCUUGCCCUUGAUGAUUAGUGUUAUCAUCGACCACUCUACUGCCUUCCCUCCAACACAAACUUGUUCGUGUUUUGUGUUAUACCUUGAGUUCCUUGCUACCCAGCAUUUGUUCUUCUUUACCUUGGACUAUUACUAUCUUUUAUGUCAAGGAUGUUGUGAGGACUGCUCCACCUCUUAAGGAAUUCUUGGUAUUGUGAUACUUCUCACCCUCACCAUUCUUUCUUGGUCCCCGUGUUGAUUCUAACUGGGAUACCAACACGUGAACCAUGCUGAUUGGAUUCUGUACUUCUAGCAACCCUAUUGCUUUGAAGUUAAUGGUCGACAUUUCAUUCUUAGACCAUUGGUUAUCGAAUCACCAUUCUAACAUUGAUCCUGCUACCUAAGCCCAUAUUUCGGGUGCACCUUUCAACCAGUGAUUAAUUGUGUAUGUCUCCCUCGAGCAUACAUCAUUAUAUCAUUUGAUCUGUUAAAUGUUAUCUCCUUGUUCACGUAAUUGUGGAGAUCCAUCUUUUGGAAAUCUCGAUGAAUUGUCGCUGAGACCAUUAGCCACCUCCUCAUCCUCUCUUUGAUUUAAUGAUGAACUCUUGUUUCGGAACUCGCUUCCAUAGUUCAAUUAUCGAGAAUCUUACAAUGUCAUCUCGACAAUUUGUGUUGCACCUUUCUUCUCACGCAACCUGAGUCUGAGUUAUCCUAACACCAAUCAGAUCUGAAUCUCGGUCGGAUAUGAUGGUUGGAACAUAUUUCCAAGAGUUAUAACAUUGGUCUUUAUAUAUGACCCGACAAGAUGAUGUCAUAUCUAGCACACCUGGCCGGAGGCCCUAUUGUUAUAGUUCCCUUUUUAGCAAGGUUAGCGAUUCUUCCAUGAGGAUAUCGUAAGACUUAUUCUAUAAUUUGUUCCUGAUGGAUCCUUUGCGUAUCCAAAGUCUGAUCUUUGCUUAAAGACCAUUCCAAUGCUAUCUUGAAGCAUGUCAUGUGGUACUCCGAUUUUCAAUAAGAAUAUUUGAAGCACAACGCUAAAUUUUCUCUAUCAAUUAUCCAAACAUCACUGUAUGGGUAAUGUCAUGAAAUUUCUCUCCCCUUUCCAAAAAGGUUUUCAACAAUUAUAUCCUGUCAUGGAUAACAUGCUCUGCUUAUCCUUGGGAAGGAUAUACCCUGAAUUAUGUGUUUAAACACAUUUUCCCCUUCCAUUGUUCUGAUUAAACAUGAUAAUCACUUUUUCUUUCCAUUGGUUUGUUUAACCCUUCUUGUGAUCUAUAUUAUAUAAGCAGUAAUAUUCUUCUGCUUAUGCAAAACACCUCGGUGUACAACCGUGUCGGCAAGACCUCGUUACUAUUGUUGAUGACAUUUCGGUAGCCACCGAUGGGUGAUAACUUUGCCAAUUGGUUCGCCUUGUUCAACAAGCAGGAAAAUUGCUCUCUUCAUUCCUCGUCCUUGGUACCGACAUUGUUGCCGAUAUACCUGACAAGCUAUUCACUAACAUGACUCCCUGUCGCGGUAUUGCAAGAUGUCACCACCCUUCCUACUUUCAACCCACAUGGUGGGCCCAUAACCCACAGGUCCACUGGAUCGAAACCUGACUCUCCUUUACAACCCGGAUUCUAAUGUAUCAUUUGCACCUGGCUUCGUAUGUGAUUCACGAGCUAAAUGCUAUACCAUUAUUCAUCCAGGAAUCAAACACCAUGUUAUUCUCGUUGUUCAAACCCCCAUUCCAGCUUAGGUCUAGUCAUCGAAUGAUUGCCUACCCGUUGAAAGUUUGGUGCAAUCGUAUAUUGCACUCAACGAAUUCACUGAAAUACAACUCGUGGGGUACCUUGUGUAUUUCCCAUUGAGUUCACGUCAGAUGCCCAGCAUUGUCGAGAUGCAUUCUUCCGGAGUUUUCCCCCUUGGUCGCGUUCGUAGGACGAUGGAGAUCCCAAAGAAAGAAUGACGACUUCAUCAAGAUGCCCCGAUGCAGUGAAUUGAAAACUUCAACGUAGUGGAUUGACCUCUUCGAGAAAAGCAACCAAGACUGAGAAGAUUGGUUAGAAUUUCGUAACCAGAUAACCUUUCCCCCUUAGUCCCCCUCUUAAAUCUCGGGACGAGAUUUCUUGUAGUGGAGGAGAAUUGUGACGCCCGGAUACUUAAGCUACAGUGAACCUCUGAUAAUGAUGCCACGUCACCUCGCUUACUGUUGUUAACCUCACGUUAGUUGAAAACCGGUUCGGACUUAAACUUCAAAAUAAAGUCGAUCGAUGAAAGUGUUGAAACAUUAAAACUAAAAUGUUAGAUUUGUGUCAAUUAAUCCGUACUAAAUUUUGGUGAAGAAACCACACUUUUAUAAAAAUUUUAAAUACUCUAAAAUGAUUAAAACAGUAGCAACAACAAUUAGUUAAACACCUUUAUAAUGAAUGAAAUGUCAAACUAAGUUAUUUGGGAACUAGACUUUUUGUGACUGUGGACCAGGUUGAAAUACUAAUUUAGAUGCUAAGUUUAUAUUUUACUAGAACUAAAAUAAAUGGCAACUAAAAAAAACAAGAACAAAAGUAAAGACAGAAAAACAAAAAGACCUUCUCCUCCCCUGGGCCUUGGCCCACUAGGCCAGCCCAACUCGCCCCUGCUUCCCCGCUCCCCUGUUCACGGGAGGGCGUGGCCGCGCCGAUGCCUGCCACGGCACCGGCCAUCGCCGUGGCGGCCAUCCGGCGGCCCUCCCCGGUGACCACCUCGCCUAUAAGACCGGCACCCUCUUCCCACGGCGCCUGGAACCCUAAUCCCAUUUGCCCCUCUCCCUUUCGCACGAGCCGCCGCCCGUGCGUUGCCGUCGUCGCGUCUUCGUCGUCACCACGGUCUCCGACUGCCCCGCGCUGCACCACCACCUGCAGGAGCUCCGUCAUGUUCGUCUACGUCAUCUACGGCCAUCCGUUCAAGCUGGGCACCUCUACAUCACCGGGAUCGACUGCUUCGUCCCCGCGGCCGUCGGUGCCUCUCCGGCGAAUUUCGGCGCUCUCUGCUGCUCCCGGCAACCAACGAGCCUCCGUGAGCUCCCUUG
Molecule: long non-coding RNA, 8347 nt
Filed under: Triticum aestivum (bread wheat)
Lineage: Eukaryota; Viridiplantae; Streptophyta; Magnoliopsida; Poales; Poaceae
Description: long non-coding RNA (TAES_LNC003668)
Source: RNAcentral